CCUACGGGAGGCAGCAGUGGGGGAUAUUGCACAAUGGGGGGAACCCUGAUGCAGCGACGCCGCGUGGGUGAAGAAGCGCCUCGGCGCGUAAAGCCCUGUCAGCAGGGAAGAAAAUGACGGUACCUGAAGAAGCAGCCCCUGCUAACUACGUGCCAGCAGCCGCGGUAAUACGUAGGGGGCAAGCGUUAUCCGGAUUUACGGGGUGGAAAGGGGGCGCAGACGGCGGUGCAAGCCAGGAGUGAAAGCCCGGGGCUCAACCCCGGGACUGCUCUGGGAACUGCGUGGCUGGAGUGCAGGAGGGGAGGGCGGAAUUCCAGGUGUAGCGGUGAAAUGCGUAGAUAUCAGGAGGAACACCAGUGGCGAAGGCGGCCUGCUGGACUGCAACUGACGUUGAGGCCCGAAAGCGUGGGGAGCAAACAGGAUUAGAUACCCCGGUAGUC
RNAcentral lists this ribosomal RNA (440 nucleotides) under uncultured bacterium. Its description in RNAcentral is "partial 16S ribosomal RNA". It matches the Rfam family "Bacterial small subunit ribosomal RNA", at positions 338 to 795 of the family's 1533-position model. The record is from RNAcentral.